CCACUGAAUGAAUUGGACUUUAUUUGCGCAGUAUAGGUGGGAGGCGUUGAUAUAUUCUUGCGGGAAUAUCGGAGCCAUCAGUGAGAUACCACUCUUGUAAUGUUAGAUUUCUAACUUUGUAUCAUUAUCUGGUCAAAGAACAGUUUCAGGCGGGCAGUUUGACUGGGGCGGUCGCCUCCCAAAUGGUAACGGAGGCGCACAAAGGUUUCCUCUGAACGGGUAGAAAUCGUAUCUAGAGUGUAAAGGCAUAAGGAAGCUUGACUGUGAGACCUACAAGUCGAGCAGGGACGAAAGUCGGUCUUAGUGAUCUGACGGUGCUGAGUGGAAAGGCCGUCACUCAACGGAUAAAAGUUACUCUAGGGAAACAGGCUGAA
This 374-nucleotide ribosomal RNA is filed under the name uncultured organism. RNAcentral's name for it is "bacterial LSU rRNA". It matches the Rfam family "Bacterial large subunit ribosomal RNA", at positions 2110 to 2486 of the family's 2925-position model. The record is from RNAcentral.